Molecule: RNA transcript, 1200 nt
Organism: Dermacentor andersoni
Lineage: Eukaryota; Metazoa; Arthropoda; Arachnida; Ixodida; Ixodidae
Gene name: zinc finger Ran-binding domain-containing protein 2-like
Source: RefSeq, a predicted model, not a curated record
GGUUGAGGCCAAGUUGAGGCAACGUUCAUGAGAGCCCUCGUAGAUACUAGCGCCACAUUUCCCUCUAGGGUAUUUAUUUAAAACUCUAUGGUUCCAUCUCCCUAGCAGAGCUGUGAAAUUGAAGCACUGAAGUCUGUUUAUCAAACUAUAGUCACUAUAGUGUUAUCAGGAGUGGACUGCGUGGAGUCUGUGGGGUACCGUCUUCUACUGGUGUGAUUUGAGUCAACGUCGACUUUUAAAUGCACCUUAAGUAUAACUACUGGCGUGCGUUGCAGAUAUAGUGCCAUCUUUAAAGUAUUGUGGUUUCAGCAAAGAAAGCAGUGCGUGAACAUAAUGCGUAGUGACGACGACAGGUGCAGUGACAGGCCUCGGUCGUCGAGCCACUCGAAAAAGUUCCGCAUGAAUGAAGGAGAUUGGCUUUGCGUCGAUUCGCAGUGUGGCAACGUCAACUUUGCACGCAGGACCAGCUGCAAUCGUUGUGGUAAAGAAAAACUGGAUCUGGCAUCUAAGCGGCAGCUGGGUCACGAGAUUGGCAAGGCAGCAGCCGAGAAAAGUCGUGGUCUGUUCAGUGCUGACGACUGGCAAUGUGGCCGCUGUGGCAACGUGAACUGGGCUCGCCGUCAGUCAUGCAACAUGUGCAAUGCUCCCAAGUUUGGCGAAGUGGAGGAACGCACAGGCCUUGGAGGGGGCUACAACGAGCGUGAGAAUGUCGAGUAUGUGGAUCGGGAGGAAUCAGAUAGCGAGUAUGAUGAUUUUGGCCGCCGAAAGAAGCGGGCUCGACGAGAUGAUGACCGGGCAGCCAGUCCCCCCUCCCGGCGAUCAGAAAGGGAGGAUGAAGAAAAGGAGAAUGAUGACAAUGAUAAGGAAGAGAAGGAGGAGGAGGAGGAGGAGGAGGAGGAUGAUGAUGAUGGCGGAGGUGAUCUUUCCAAGUAUGACCUGAGUGGCUGGGAUUCUCCUCACAGCCCCGGCUCGAGUGGCAAGCCAGAAGAGGAACAGCUCCAGGAGGAAAAAGCAGCAGCUGGAGGAGCGUCCAGGUCCAGGAACUACAGGUGGCAGCACCGUCGCCGCGUUAGUGUGGAUAGGCGGUAGACGGCGCGCACUGAAAUGUACAUGGCGGCGUUCCGCUGUGAACCAUGUGGCCCUGUUUUCUGGGACAUCCGGGACUGAGGAGGCAGGAAAUAAAAGCUGUGGCAGCAGAGA